GAUGAACGCUGGCGGCGUGCCUAAUACAUGCAAGUCGAGCGAACAGACGAGGAGCUUGCUCCUCUGACGUUAGCGGCGGACGGGUGAGUAACACGUGGAUAACCUACCUAUAAGACUGGGAUAACUUCGGGAAACGGGAGCUAAUACCGGAUAAUAUAUUAAACCGCAUGGUUCAAUAGUGAAAGACGGUUUUGCUGUCACUUAUAGAUGGAUCCGCGCCGCAUUAGCUAGUUGGUAAGGUAACGGCUUACCAAGGCAACGAUGCGUAGCCGACCUGAGAGGGUGAUCGGCCACACUGGAACUGAGACACGGUCCAGACUCCUACGGGAGGCAGCAGUAGGGAAUCUUCCGCAAUGGGCGAAAGCCUGACGGAGCAACGCCGCGUGAGUGAUGAAGGUCUUCGGAUCGUAAAACUCUGUUAUUAGGGAAGAACAAAUGUGUAAGUAACUAUGCACGUCUUGACGGUACCUAAUCAGAAAGCCACGGCUAACUACGUG
Molecule: ribosomal RNA, 497 nt
Filed under: uncultured bacterium
Lineage: Bacteria
Description: partial 16S ribosomal RNA
Rfam family: Bacterial small subunit ribosomal RNA
Source: RNAcentral